Molecule: ribosomal RNA, 500 nt
Filed under: uncultured bacterium
Lineage: Bacteria
Description: partial 16S ribosomal RNA
Rfam family: Bacterial small subunit ribosomal RNA
Source: RNAcentral
AUUGAACGCUGGCGGCAGGCCUAACACAUGCAAGACGAGCGGAUGAAGGGAGCUUGCUCCCUGAUUCAGCGGCGGACGGGUGAGUAAUGCCUAGGAAUCUGCCUGGUAGUGGGGGACAACGUUUCGAAAGGAACGCUAAUACCGCAUACGUCCUACGGGAGAAAGCAGGGGACCUUCGGGCCUUGCGCUAUCAGAUGAGCCUAGGUCGGAUUAGCUAGUUGGUGAGGUAAUGGCUCACCAAGGCGACGAUCCGUAACUGGUCUGAGAGGAUGAUCAGUCACACUGGAACUGAGACACGGUCCAGACUCCUACGGGAGGCAGCAGUGGGGAAUAUUGGACAAUGGGCGAAAGCCUGAUCCAGCCAUGCCGCGUGUGUGAAGAAGGUCUUCGGAUUGUAAAGCACUUUAAGUUGGGAGGAAGGGUUGCUGAUUAAUACUCUGCAAUUUUGACGUUACCGACAGAAUAAGCACCGGCUAACUCUGUGCCAGCCGCCGCCGUAA